Eriocheir sinensis (Chinese mitten crab) is the source of this 1540-nucleotide long non-coding RNA. RefSeq lists it as uncharacterized. The transcript has 7 exons. The record is from RefSeq and is a predicted model, not a curated record. Lineage: Eukaryota; Metazoa; Arthropoda; Malacostraca; Decapoda; Varunidae.
AGAAGAGGAAGACAAGAUGGCCGCCGACCCCUGCCCCAGCCGAGCCAGUCCACACUUUUUCGCCAUUCCAAGCCUUGUGGAGGGUGUGAGGUCUGUUAGGAAGUGACAAUCGUUCUCUCAGCCUUUCGACACCACAAGCAGCCGCCGGGAACCCUGCUGGACAUACGAGGAAGGUCCCUGCCUCCCCUGAUGCCUGGGGGCAGACUCCUGGCUGGUGGCUGUCCUCCUCACACCUCCUGCCUCCACAUGUCUUCUCAAAGGUCUUUUUGGUGGUCGGGCUGUGAGUCUCCCAGCCUUGCCGAUGGAAGACUUUCCUCCCUGGCCUUCCUCCUCCUUCAGGUCUUCCAGCUGGUCUCCUCCCGUGUACCUCCACAACUCCUCUGGAAGGUGGAGAGGGAGGAGUGCGGACACUAACGCUGCCUGUUCAGUGUGGGCCCCAAACACCUAGAUGCCAAGGAAGAGAACAUGAAGGUGACGGCAAUGAGAGAGGAGGAGGCAGAGGACGAGGGAAUGAUUUAAAUGCUGCGGAAGAGAGCUGUCUGGGAACUGGCUUGAAGAGAGAUAAGAAGAAGAGGAGGAAGAAGAAGAACAAGAGGAACAAGAGGAGGAGAAAGAUGAAGGGGGAACACAGGAAACAAUUGGUCCCUGCUUUCCCCUGACGGUGGUGGUCUCCUUGCUCCCGGGUGGUUGUCUUCACAUUUUUCUGCCUCCGCCUCCACAGGGCUUCCCAAAGGCUCCCCAAACACCACGACAGGCCAGCUGAGAAACAGAGCCUGGAGACACCCUCUUCUGCGGGAACCUUUCCUCAUGGCACCCUGACCUCCCUCCAAGAGACUCCCUCCCCACCCAACAACCCAUCCCUCCCUCCUCCCCUCAGUGCCAGGCACAUUCUCCCCUCCCAAAGUCUCCCGUCCCAUCCCAACAACCCAUCCAUAUUCUUCACUUGGUGGGCAAUGCUUGGCUGCUUGCCUUCUGAGACCUUCCUCAUGUACUUGGCAAUAUAGCCGUAGUGUUAAGGGAGAAAAUUUUCAUUAAACAGGGCGUGAGCUCAAAAGGUGAAACUAGCCAGCAAGGGAUGAUCCCUGUGGUGCGUCAAGAGACACGAAGAGGUGUACUACUGGCAAAAGUGUAGUAAGCAUGACUUACCUGGCUUCCUCUGUGUUCGUACAGGCCUCCCAACAUGGAGCUUGAUCUCUGUAGGAAGCCUCGUGGUGACCACGACACACACAAAGGACCUCAAAUCAUCUGUAGGGUUCUUAAUUAUAUCUCCUUAUGGGUCUGGCAAGGACCCUCAGUGUACACAAAGGUUAACUGAUAAGGUGUGUACAACUAUGCACAGCUUUAUUACAACCAAAGAACAGAAAACUCCACCACACACACACAAACUGACCUAGCGCGUCUCCGUGCGCCUACAGAACCUACUCUGACCUGGCUACACUAACGAUACAUGGUAUACUUAGCUUGGUGCGGAGGAAGGAUGAGAUGACGUGCAGCUGGCCCUCCUGCUGAGGCUCUUCAAAUCCAUACAUUAUAUAUAUAU